AAAAAAAAAGUAAGGUAUGUUAAUCAAGCCUGAAGUAAGGUGGUAACUGGCGAUUCUAAAGCCAUUAGUAAACUACAUAGUCUACAUGUAAAAUAACUUAAUUAUAAGCAUUCACAUAAUAUAAAAGAAAAUGAAGGGAUGACAAAUGUCAAGUGUUUUAUUUAUUAUUAAACCGUAUUAUGCAGAAAUGAAAGUAACUAAGUAUGUAACUUGUUUUCAAAAAAUUGAUUCCAAGAUUUUCGACUUUUCCAAAAUAAAUUAAUAAUUGAUUAUAUUAUUUUGGUUUCUUCACUCGUACGUAACAAAUCUUUUAAAGUAAACGAGGAAAUGGGAGGUCUAUAUAUUUAUAUGAAUUUUCAACGAUUACUAUAUUAUCUUUACUCUAUAGUCACCCACGAAGGUUGACUUGUGACAUUUGAAUCUGAACACGAUACCAAAAUUUCUCACGAGUAAGAGAGCAAGUUGUUUUGUCUUAAUUGCGGAUACACUUACUCCUCAAAUUAAAUACGGAGUAUAGUUUUUCCUCUUAUUGAAGACAUUAUAUUUUUAUUUUCUUUUUAUUAGAGUAACAUAAUUUUCGUUAUUUAUGUGCUUCUAAAUCAUCUGAUUCAUGCACUUAUAAAAAAUGUCUAUAUUAAGGAAGAGAUAAGAUCAAACAAAUACGUUUUCAAGAAAACGAAUCCUAAUUAAUGAUCCAGAAAAUUGGAAAACAUAAUUUGAAAAUUUUUUUUAAAGCAACAAUAAGAGAAUCACAAACAAAUGAAGCUCAGAUUGAUCCAAAAUCACUACUGACAAAUACCUAACCGAGAUAGAAGAGGCAGAAUGGACAAAAUAACAUCAUUCAGCAACCAUACAAUUGCCAAAUUAUAUAUAAACAUCCGAAAACAUAAUGAAAAGAAAAACGUACAUGAAUAUACAACAGUCUUCUUGUUAUGUGUGUGGGAUAUGAUAUGAUCAAGUGUUUAAGGUAUAUGUCAGAAGAGUGCAGAGAGAAAGGUCCUCUAGUUUCCUCUAUUUCUGGGGAAAAUGAAGAGAGAUGGAAGGAGAGGAAGUGAAAUGAGCGUUGAAGCUGUUGAUGAACAAGGACAAAGUGCAAGCGUUUUGAAACGACCAUUUAUAAGCGACUCUAUAAGAGAUAUUCCAUUUUAUGUUUCGGUAUAUUCUCCCUCUAGCGACGCCGUUUUCUAUCUUCAAUAUUUUUUCUCUCUUUUUAUUACAACUUUUAUUUCGCUGUAAUUAUUCUUUUAUUAUCUAAAAACAGCUGUUUUACUAUAAUAAUAAGUUCUUGUUUUGUACUUGUAAUUGACCAUGAACUGUACUUAGAUACGGAGGUUUUGAUGUAUUUUUAUAAUAUUAAAUUGGGAUCUUCAACAUUAAGUACAAUCACUAGAUACCUAUUCCCUGGCAUGCUAUUUAGGCAGAUAUAAGAUUUAAAUCAUAAUAGAGUCAAAAUAGGGGUUAAAAAAUGAGAGACUUACAUAAAAAGACACAUUGUGAGUUUUGUUUACUCUAUAAGACACAAAGCAACUUUGACACACUUUUUCCUGCCAGCUGUCUUUAUUGAGACGGAAAUAACCUUGGUUAUUACUAAAGAAAAAUAUACUUAUUUUAAGGAAGCAAACCGAAAAAGAACCAGUUACCUUGUAAUUGCAAUAAAGGAUAAAGCAAAUAAAACAAAAAAUUAGAUAUAUGAGUUUAUGAGAAUAUAUCGUGAACGUCAGAUCAUUUUGAAGAAAGCAAAUCCAACGAUCCGGAGAUGUGUUGAUUUGUGGGCGAGUUUUUGUGGACGAAUUCUCAUGGACAAGGUUUCUCGUAGACAAUUUGUGGACACCAUAUAUGUGGACAAACAAAUUGGUAGACAAGAGAAGCGUUGAUAACAUGAUUUUAUCGAAUGUUAUAGAAAAUAAUUGCCUUCUUUGUCUGUCUAAGAAAAAAAUGAGAAUUGUUUAUUAACUUCUUGUAUACUCGAUUUAGAUAUUUAUAAAUUGAAUAAAGAAGAAAUUUUUUUGUGAAUCAAUGAAUUAUGGAUCUAAUUCGUCAUUUAGUAAAAUUUCUCUAUAAAAUCAUUCAUCAUUCAUCAUUAUCAUGAAACAACGAUUAAGCUUUUCUGUGGACACAAUUCAGUGGUCGAACACACUUCUGUGGACACAGUUUAUGUGGACGUGAAAAUGUUACAAAAUUUUCUGUGGACACCGUAUCUACCACCACCUUUUCCACCUCAUGUCUUCCACCUCAUAUUCACAUCCACCACCACAACAUCCACCAACACGGCAUCCACCACCACUUCCUCCUCCUCGCAUCUUCCACCUUUGUAUCCACAUCCACCACAACAGCAUCCACAGCCACGACAUCCACCACCACAUCCUCCUCCUCACGUCUUCCACCUCCGUAUCAACAUCCACCACCAUAGCAUCCACCAUCACGGCAUCCAUAAUCACCACCAGCUCUUCAUCCUCACGUCUUCCACCUCUGUAUCCACAUCCACCACAACGGCAUCCACCACCACCUCCUCCUCUCGAGUAGCCACCUCCACCACUGUUUUUACCCUCAUGAACCAAGAUAAAAAAUCAGACAAGAAAUUAACUUUCCAUAUAUGAAUCUGUUAGAUAUAUCUAUGAAAUUAGGAACAUAGAGUUAUGAUUGAGAAUGGAUUGGAGUUUCUGAAUUCAUGGUGUGACUCACCAAUGGUCGAGUAUGAAGAGUUGGCGGAACAGUUUCAGAUCGAACAAAAGCUAGAAGUGGAGACAUAAAGCUUCAACAAAGUGAUGGAGAUGUCGAAUUUGAGAAAGUGGAUUAGGGUUCGGAUCGAUCUGUAGUUUUAGUAGAAGUUGGUAAAGAGCCAAAAUUAGGGUUCAUAUCUGGGGGUAAUCGAUUUUGAAAAGGGGAUCUGUCUUACAAAAGUGAAAAAGAUUUUAUUAUAUUUCGAAAUUUUUUAUUUUCCUCACUAGUUUUCUAAUCGUUAUAAUGAAAAUGAGAAAAUCGGUUGGUUCAGUUUCUUGGUUUACGAUCUAGUUAGACACUUAUCCAAUAGUUAUUCUUUACAUAGAUAAGGGGUAGUUAUGACAAUUUACUAAGAGAAAGUGUCUACUUGGGCCAAAGUGUCUAUGAGAGUAAUUCAUAACUUGGAAUGUGUCUCUGAGAGUAAAUUUCUCUUAAAAAAUUCUAACAAAAUGAAUUCAGUUAGCAUUUAGCAGUGUGGUCAGACUUUGGCUACUUAUAAAAAACUACACUAUGUUUGCCUAAUUCGAGACAAUCAUUUAAUUUUAAAAUAUUAGAAUUUGAUGACACACUAUCUUAUAAAGUUGUAAUAAUAACUUUUAAUUUGAAUAAAAAUAAACUUAGGGACGUGAACAAAAGUAUUUAGACGAAGAAAUCAACAUUGAUACAACAAGCAGUUAUUUUACGGCAAAAAGUUAUUUUAACAAUUUUUUUCAACGAUUACUAUAUUAUCUUUAUUCUAUAGUCACCCACGAAGGUUGACUUGUGACAUUUGAAUCUGAACACGAUACCAAAAUUUCUCACGAGUAAGAGAGCAAGUUGUUUUGUCUUAAUUGCGGAUACACUUACUCCUCAAAUUAAAUACGGAGUAUAGUUUUUCCUCUUAUUGAAGACAUUAUAUUUUUAUUUUCUUUUUAUUAGAGUAACAUAAUUUUCGUUAUUUAUGUGCUUGUAAAUCAUCUGAUUCAUGCACUUAUAAAAAAUGUCUAUAUUAAGGCAGAGAUAAGAUCAAACAAAUACGUUUUCAAGAAAACGAAUCCUAAUUAAUGAUCCAGAAAAUUGGAAAACAUAAUUUGAAUUUUUUUUUUAAAGCAACAAUAAGAGAAUCACAAACAAAUGAAGCUCAGAUUGAUCCAAAAUCACUACUGACAAAUACCUAACCGAGAUAGAAGAGGCAGAAUGGACAAAAUAACAGCAUUCUGCAACCAUACAAUUGCCAAAUUAUAUAUAAACAUCCGAAAACAUAAUGAAAAGAAAAACGUACAUGAAUAUACAACAGUCUUCUUGUUAUGUGUGUGGGAUAUGAUAUGAUCAAGUGUUUAAGGUAUAUGUCAGAAGAGUGCAGAGAGAAAGGUCCUCUAGUUUCCUCUAUUUCUGGGGAAAAUGAAGAGAGAUGGAAGGAGAGGAAGUGAAAUGAGCGUUGAAGCUGUUGAUGAACAAGGACAAAGUGCAAGCGUUUUGAAACGACCAUUUAUAAGCGACUCUAUAAGAGAUAUUCCAUUUUAUGUUUCGGUAUAUUCUCCCUCUAGCGACGCCGUUUUCUAUCUUCAAUAUUUUUUCUCUCUUUUUAUUACAACUUUUAUUUCGCUGUAAUUAUUCUUUUAUUAUCUAAAAACAGCUGUUUUACUAUAAUAAUAAGUUCUUGUUUUGUACUUGUAAUUGACCAUGAACUGUACUUAGAUACGGAGGUUUUGAUGUAUUUUUAUAAUAUUAAAUUGGGAUCUUCAACAUUAAGUACAAUCACUAGAUACCUAUUCCCUGGCAUGCUAUUUAGGCAGAUAUAAGAUUUAAAUCAUAAUAGAGUCAAAAUAGGGGUUAAAAAAUGAGAGACUUACAUAAAAAGACACAUUGUGAGUUUUGUUUACUCUAUAAGACACAAAGCAACUUUGACACACUUUUUCCUGCCAGCUGUCUUUAUUGAGACGGAAAUAACCUUGGUUAUUACUAAAGAGAAAUAUACUUAUUUUAAGGAAGCAAACCGAAAAAGAACCAGUUACCUUGUAAUUGCAAUAAAGGAUAAAGCAAUAAAACAAAAAAUUAGAUAUAUGAGUUUAUGAGAAUAUAUCGUGAACGUCAGAUCAUUUUGAAGAAAGCAAAUCCAAUGAUCCGGAGAUGUGUUGAUUUGUGGGCGAGUUUUUGUGGACGAAUUCUCAUGGACAAGGUUUCUCGUAGACAAUUUGUGGACACCAUAUAUGUGGACAAACAAAUUGGUAGACAAGAGAAGCGUUGAUAACAUGAUUUUAUCGAAUGUUAUAGAAAAUAAUUGCCUUCUUUGUCUGUCUAAGAAAAAAAUGAGAAUUGUUUAUUAACUUCUUGUAUACUCGAUUUAGAUAUUUAUAAAUUGAAUAAAGAAGAAAUUUUUUUGUGAAUCAAUGAAUUAUGGAUCUAAUUCGUCAUUUAGUAAAAUUUCUCUAUAAAAUCAUUCAUCAUUCAUCAUUAUCAUGAAACAACGAUUAAGCUUUUCUGUGGACACAAUUCAGUGGUCGAACACACUUCUGUGGACACAGUUUAUGUGGACGUGAAAAUGUUACAAAAUUUUCUGUGGACACCGUAUCUACCACCACCUUUUCCACCUCAUGUCUUCCACCUCAUAUUCACAUCCACCACCACAACAUCCACCAACACGGCAUCCACCACCACUUCCUCCUCCUCGCAUCUUCCACCUUUGUAUCCACAUCCACCACAACAGCAUCCACAGCCACGACAUCCACCACCACAUCCUCCUCCUCACGUCUUCCACCUCCGUAUCAACAUCCACCACCAUAGCAUCCACCAUCACGGCAUCCAUAAUCACCAUCAGCUCUUCAUCCUCACGUCUUCCACCUCUGUAUCCACAUCCACCACAACGGCAUCCACCACCACCUCCUCCUCUCGAGUAGCCACCUCCACCACUGUUUUUACCCUCAUGAACCAAGAUAAAAAAUCAGACAAGAAAUUAACUUUCCAUAUAUGAAUCUGUUAGAUAUAUCUAUGAAAUUAGGAACAUAGAGUUAUGAUUGAGAAUGGAUUGGAGUUUCUGAAUUCAUGGUGUGACUCACCAAUGGUCGAGUAUGAAGAGUUGGCGGAACAGUUUCAGAUCGAACAAAAACUAGAAGUGGAGACAUAAAGCUUCAACAAAGUGAUGGAGAUGUCGAAUUUGAGAAAGUGGAUUAGGGUUCGGAUCGAUCUGUAGUUUUAGUAGAAGUUGGUAAAGAGCCAAAAUUAGGGUUCAUAUCUGGGGGUAAUCGAUUUUGAAAAGGGGAUCUGUCUUACAAAAGUGAAAAAGAUUUUAUUAUAUUUCGAAAUUUUUUAUUUUCCUCACUAGUUUUCUAAUCGUUAUAAUGAAAAUGAGAAAAUCGGUUGGUUCAGUUUCUUGGUUUACGAUCUAGUUAGACACUUAUCCAAUAGUUAUUCUUUACAUAGAUAAGGGGUAGUUAUGACAAUUUACUAAGAGAAAGUGUCUACUUGGGCCAAAGUGUCUAUGAGAGUAAUUCAUAACUUGGAAUGUGUCUCUGAGAGUAAAUUUCUCUUAAAAAAUUCUAACAAAAUGAAUUCAGUUAGCAUUUAGCAGUGUGGUCAGACUUUGGCUACUUAUAAAAAACUACACUAUGUUUGCCUAAUUCGAGACAAUCAUUUAAUUUUAAAAUAUUAGAAUUUGAUGACACACUAUCUUAUAAAGUUGUAAUAAUAACUUUUAAUUUGAAUAAAAAUAAACUUAGGGACGUGAACAAAAGUAUUUAGACGAAGAAAUCAACAUUGAUACAACAAGCAGUUAUUUUACGGCAAAAAGUUAUUUUAACAAUUUUUUAAAAAAAAUUAGUGAUUUUUGAUAUGUACAAAACUUUUUUAAAGUGAAAGAAGAGUAACUGCAUGAUAUCUAUAUCUACAGAGUACAUACUACAAUGUCAACUGUACUUAUUUGGGUAUGGCCAGGCCGUAUGGGAAUAACACCUAUUGUAAGGCUCAUCACUUGUGGAAUGGUAUGUUUCGUAUCUGACAAGUAAGAGACUUUAAUGCAUUUCCAGAAAUACAAGUGUAUCUUGCUUAGUUGUUUUAGCCCAGCAAGCUACCUUCUUUCUCUUCCGUGACCCAACAAGUUUUUUUUUCAUGGCAUCUUAAUUUCCAUCUAUUAUUAUUAUGUACUUAUGUAGUAAUAUUUUAUACAAUAAUGACCCUCGUUUUUAAUGAUUUAUAAAAUAAUUCAAUGGUGUUAAAAAAAAUACAAUAAUACUACUCCCUCCGUUCCCUAAAAUUACAUAUUAUAGAGAAAAAUCUUGUUUCAAAAAAAUCUAUUUUUUACAUUUUCAAUACAUAUUUUAUUAAUUAAUUGCAAACUUCAAAAAACUUAAUUGCACUAGUUGAAUUUUUAUUGGUUUAAAAUUAUGAAAAAAGAUAAACACAAAAAAAUAUAUAAAUUUAAUAUGUUUUAUUAAAAUGUGUGAAAAAUUUAGAAUAUGUAAUUUUAAGGAACAGAGAGAGUAUUUAGUAAUGCUCUAUAGUCUAUAUACAUGUCUUUCACGUGAAAUAAUUUCGUGAUGGAGUUAUACAAUCACAAUUUCUUUUCAUUUGGCGAAAACAUUAUGAAAUCUACACCAGUUGAUUUCAUAAUCUAUUUUAUUAAAGAAGACCCAAAACUGAAAUGUUUGAUCCAUAAAAAUGCUGGUUUAUGGUACACUAAAAACAUAUUGGAAUAAUAAUGCAUAUCUAUCUGCUGCUAAACCGUUUCGAUUACAUAGCAAAACGCAUAAAAUGGUAAACAAAUUUACAACUAAUAUAGUACGUAUGCUACGUUGAAAAAAUCACAUAAGCACAUGAAAUUAGCUACAGACUUACGAGCUACAUAUUUCCAAGCUUCUACAGAUGGAAAAUUGUCAACCUGAUUGCUCAACUAUCAUUCAAUUUUCAUGACAUUUCAAGAUGUUAUUCCUUCAAUUCAUGAUGACUUUUGUUGUAAAAACACAAGAUUUCAAGGCCUUACGUUCUUCGCAUGGUGCAAAAACGAUAUUUAUUUUUAGAUGAUAUGAUGGAUUAUGGGUUCCUGUGUUCGACCGAUGAUUACGAUCCCAAAGCGAUUUUUUUUUAGAAUAGUAAAAAUGUUUUGAUUUCCUCGUUACUUACUUAUAAAUUAUUAGUAUAUUUUAGAAACUUGGUUUCAAAAAACUGUUUAUAAAUUAUUGUAUUCUUUUAUUUUCUUCCUGCCUAGACGUUAGCAAGUAGUACCAACAAACAAAAUAUAUUAAAAUUGAUGGCUUGACUCUAUCCAUAUCAGAGUUGACUAAUUAAAUGUUGAUGUCUUUGGUAUGACAUAUUACGUCGAUGUGUUGAAAUGUUAUUGCUUGUAAAGGUGACUUCUCUGUCCAUAAUUCCAUCGUUCACAUUGGACGGAUCCUUUUUCUAGUUACGGAAGGUCUAAUCAAUUAAUCACACGAUUAUUAUGUAAAUUAUAUGUCUGUUAGAUGAAGCAUUUAAUCCUCUGCAUCCACACAUGGAGACCAUUAAUAGCAAGAGAAAACGAAUACAAUCUUAGUACCCUUCACAUCAUGAGAUUAUAACCAGUUUUUUGGAGUUGAUUUUGAAACGUUUAGACUUUAUUCAAGUAUAUGAGUACAAAUUAGAGCAUCCCCCUAAGAGGAAAAGCUUGAUAAAUAGAUUGAGGACCACAAGAAGUUGUGGCUCCGGCGUUAUCUUAUCAUUAAUGUUUGAUUCAUGUAGAAAAAUAUAUACAAGAUAUUUUGAAUUUAUGCCUAGUCCAUCAAUCUAUGCUACUCCAUUCAUCCAUAUGUAAAAUCCGAAAGGAUUAUUAAAAUUUAUUGACCAUGUGUAACUCAUAAAUCUUAGGUUUGUAACAAUCAAUUCACCAUUCAGAUAUUUAACUACUAAUUCAGUAAUUAUUAUUCGGCACUGGAUUUCAGUAACUACCUCACUUGUUGCAUUAAUAAAAAAACAAUGAAGAAGAACAUUUCUUUUUAAAAUCGAUACACAAACAUUUUGAUUUCAAUAGCGUUAGAACAUCAAAAUAUCAAACAUCAAAAUAUCAAAAUAUCAAACGAAGAACAACUUAAGUUGAUAGAAACAAAAAGACUUAUUAAAUCAAACUACACAAUGGGGACCGUUCUACUAUCACUUGUUGUGUUCUCAUUGUCUUCAUUUUCACCGGACAUUUCCUCGAGCGACUUCCCUUUAGAUUCAGGCACCAAGAAAGUGAAGAGGAUGCCCAAGAAGUUAACAACACCUAACACGAGAAGCGAGUUUCUGACUCCAAUCCCUGGAGGAUAUCCUGCGUCUGUCUUGUUCUUGUCAGGGCUUUGAGCCAAGUACAAGAAUCCAAAGGCACCAACCAUGGCACCUAACUUUCCUGAUGCAGCAGAGAUACCAUGGCAGGUAGAUCUGAACCUGGCUGGGAAGAUCUCCGCCGGUACAACGAAGGUUGUAGCAUUGGGUCCAAAGUUAGCAAAAAAGAACGUCAAAGAGUACAUGAUAACGAAUCCAAUUCGGUUCUCCUUGUGAGUCCAGUGGUUGUACGGAAUAGCCAAAGCAAACAUAAAGACCGUCAUGAAGAAGAAUCCCAUCAUCUGAAUCGCAAACCUUCCAAUGACGUCUAUAAAAGCAACUGUGAACCAGUAACCAGGUACCGUGCUACACAAGGCAAUGAGAGUUUGCGCGCGUGCGAUCUUGAAAACUUCUUGAAUUGCGUUCAUAGUUUGAGCCGGAGGUAUCCACCCGAUUGCGCUGAAAAUAUCUUUUUGGAAUAGGUUUUGACUGUAGAAAGCGAUGUCGAGAAGGAACCAUGUUGAUGUAGUUCCUAGCAAAUGAAGUCCAUGGCGUUUCAUAAAUUCCUUGGAAAACAAGGAAAAGGCUUUGGACUUAUUAUUUGAGAUCUCUUCCACUUUCUCCUGUUCUGCCUCUAUCUCCACUUGAAGAACCCUAGACAUGUCUGAAGCAGCCAGCUUUGCGUCCUUAGCAACCAAAGCUGUGUAUCUUGCGGUUUCAGGCAUCUUGGACCUUGAGUAAUACGUCAUGGCCGCAGGGAUAGCACCAACCAUCAAGAUUAUACGCCAUACAAGAUCUGCUUGAGGUACCGUGGAUCUCAAGGCAUCUUCCGCAUAGGCCGGGGCAGGGAACUUAGCUUCAAAAGCAGAGGAGAUAAUUAUAGCAAAGAUGCCACCAGCCAUGAUCCCAAACCCUUGCAUAGCGAAAACCGCAGAAACAAACGCUCCACGAGUUUUCUUGUUAGCGUAUUCAGACAUGAUUGUUGCGGACAAAGGAUAGUCACCACCAAUCCCAAACCCUAGCCAAAACCUAAAGAAACAUAGCGUGGUCAUCACGGCUUUUGGCUCGUGUCCGAAAGAGAGACCAGAGGCUACGGAGCAAAGGACCAUAACCAUCAACGUCAUUCCAUAAACUUUCUUCCUCCCAAGCUUAUCUCCAAGCCACCCGAAAAAGAGUUGACCGGCUAGGGUUCCACAGAAGGCGACGCCGUUCACGGCAGCAGCAACAUUGGGAGGGAGAGUCCCUGGCUUUGCGGAGCCUGGGACGUGGUAGUAAAUGCGACCGAGGAGCUUGGUGACGAGAGAGAUGCAGAAGAGAUCGUAAGCGUCGGUGAAGAAUCCCAUUCCAGCGAUUAUGAUGGCUGUAAAAUGGUACCAUUGCGUCUUCGCUACAUCGAGUGCGUUCAACACUUUUAACUGAUCCCCUGCCAUUCUUGUUCACCUCUGUAAUGUCAUCAAUAACUCAAUAUUAGCAACUUUGAGUAACAAUGAAUCAUAUAGGAAGAUUUUAUGAUUAUAAAAGUCGAGUCAAGAGUUUUUAAAGAUUAAAAAAAAAAGAGUUUUUAAAGAUUUUGUUAAGCCAUAUUACACACAUAAAAAUAAUUAUGUAUUCAAAUAAUUGAUUCCUAAUUUUUCGACUAAAAUUUUCCGAAAAAGUAAUUAAAAUAAUUUCCUAUAGUUUUGGUUUCUUUAGGCCGACGUGACCAAUUAUUUAAAAGUAAACGAGGAAAUGGGAGAUCCAUAUAUUUAUUUGAAUUUUCAACGAUUACUAUUCUGUCUUUAGUCUAUAGUUACCCACAAAGGUUGACUUGUGACACGAUACCAAGUUACCAACACUUGUGCGAGAGUAAGACAGCAAGUUGGUUUGUCUUAGUUGCGGACACACUUGGUCAUCAAACUAAAUAUAGUAUUCCCUCUUAUUGAAGACACUUAUUGAAGUUAUUAUAUUUUUCUUUUCUUUUUUUAUUAUAGUAACAUGAUUUUCGUUACUAAUUUGUUUGUGAAUAAUUGGAUCCAUGCACUCAACAGACAGAUGUCUUCUAUUCAGGGAAAGAUAAGAUCAGACAAAUACGUUUUCAUGAUGAAUAAUCCUAAUUAAUGAUCCAAGAAAAUUGGAGAACACAAUUCGAUAUCGUCCUAACUCCUAACUAACAUCAUUUUGCAUCCAGACAGUUACCAAAUUAUAUAUAAACAUCCAAAAACACAAAUGAAAAGAAAGACUUACAUGAAUAUACAACAAUCUUCUUUUUACGUGUGUUAGAACUAAUCUGAUCAAGUGUUUAAGGUAUAUGUCAGAAGAGUGCAGAGAGAAAUGAUCAUUAAUUUCUGGGGGGAAAUGUAGAGAGAGAGAGAGAGAGAGAGAGAGGCAGAGGAAGUGAAAUGAGCGUUAAAGCUAUUGAUAACAAGGACAAAUUGUAAGCGUUUUGAAACGAGCUUUUAUAAGCAACUCCAAUGACAUAUUCCAUUUUCUGUUUCGGUAUAUUCCCCUCCAACGACGCCGUUUUUGUUGUCUUUAAUAUGUUUCCUCUCUUUUUGUUACAACUUUUUAUUUUACUUCGUUUAGGUAUUAUUAGGACAGGAUGCUUCUGUUUUGCUGUAAUUAUUCUUUUUAUUAUCUAAAACAGCUGUUUCACUAUAAUAAAAAGUUCUUGUUUUUGUACUUGUAGUUGACCAUGAAUUGUGUUUACAUUUACGGAGCUUUUAAAAUAUUGGGACUUCACCAUUCAAUACAGUCACUAGAUGCCUAUUCCCUGGCAUGUUAUUGAGGCAGAUAUAAGUUUUAAAUCCUGAUAUAGUCAAAAUAGAUGUAAAAACAAAAUAAAUAUUUAUAAAAAAUGAAUUCAAUUAGCAGUGUGGUCAAACUUUGAUUACUUAUUAAAAAACUACACUAUGUUGUCUAAUUCGAGACAAUCAUUAAUUAAAAAUAUUAAGAAUUUCAUGACACACUACCUUAUAAAUUUUUAAUAAUAACUAGAAAAUUAAAUAAGAAUAAACUUAGGGACGUGAACAAGAUAAUUUAGAAGAAGAAAUCAAGUUUGAUGCAACAAGCAGAUUUUCUUGACAAUACAGCAAACACUUAUUUUAAUUUUGUUCAGUGAUUUAUUUUUUGAAUUGAAUGUUAAAUUUAAUUCAAAAGAAAAUUUUUUUUUACAUUAUAGUGUUUCUUCUACCAAAAAACUAUGUACUUAAGCUCUAACCCUUCCCCCAUGAUUACUCAACCAAACUCAAAGUAUUUCUAUCUUGUGUAAAACCUGAAUUGCAUCCCUUUCCUAAAUUUAUUAUCUCCUUUCAUCCGUAUCAAUGUGAGUUUGUUCCUCGUAUUUUUGUCAAGAAGUUUUAUCAAUAGCGCUGCUGGAGCAUUUGCCUCGCCAUGUCUUCUUCUAUUACGCUCUCUCCAUAUCAUGUAGACGGCUGCUUGAAGCAUAUACUUGAUGAGGAAUAAUUGCAUCUUACAUCUUGUCGAAUCUCUCAAGAGCCUCAAUAUAGCUACCCAUCUCACCGUGUAUUGAUCCUUUAAGAUACCCUUCAUUAGUACCUCCUAUAUCUGAGCAGAAUAACUACAUUCAAAGAACAAAUGCUCAAGAGUUUCCAAUGCUCAUUGCACAGGACACACGUUUCAUUUGUAUUACUCUUCCAAAUUCUUAUCUUAUCUCCUGUUGCUAGUCUUCCCUUCAUUGCCAUCCAUAAGAUAAACGAGUAUCUUGGAGUUAAAUACUUAAACCACACUGCAUCAACCCAGUCACAUAGUAGUUUUUUUCUCUCUAAUAAACUCCCAAAUUUCCUUAGUGAUUUUUGAUAUGUAGGGACUUUUUUCAGGCGAAUAAUAACUGCAUGAUAUGUAUAUCCAGAGACCUAGACUACAAUGUCAAUGGUAUUUAUUUAUUUUAUAGUGUAAUUAAUGGCCGUAUGGGAAUAACACCCUAUUGUAGGGUGUGAGUAAGGCUCAUGACUUGUGGAAUGGUCAGUAAGAGACUUUAAUGCUUCUCCAGUGUAUAUUGCUUAGUUGCUUUAAGCCCAGCAAUCUUCUUUCUCUUCCGUGACCCAGCAAGUUUUUUUCAUGGGGUCUUAAUUUCCAUAUAUUCUUAUGUAAUGUGUUAUACAGUAAUGACCCUUGUUUUUUAAAAAUGAUUUAUACAAUAAGUAUAACACUAUAGUAAUGCUCUCUCUAUAUAUGUAUGUCUUUCACGUGAAAGAAUUUUAUGGUGAUGUGUGAAAGAAUUUUAUGGUGGAGAUGUAUAUAUAUACACAAUUUUUUCAUUUAUGAUUGACGAUAAAUUUGAAAUACAUACUUUGCAUCAUUUAUUGUUUUCCUUAUCAAUACCGUUUCUUUCGACUUAUAGGAAAUAUGACUGCAAACUUUAGAAGAAAAUGCGUGUGGUUUCGAGAACUAGAAAUUGGCUUAUUAUCGACCGACUUCGUAACGUGUUUGUAACACUGGGCUCUAUUAAAGACAUACGGCGACAACAUACUAAAUUUACACCAGUUGAUUACAUUGAGUACUGUUCAUUAAAGACGAGCGAAAAUGAUUUUUUUUUGUAAUAAAAAAAUGAAUGUUUGAUGUACAUAGUCACUUUGAAAUGUACGUAACGUUAACACCCAAUCCACAUUUUGGAAUAUUGUCAAAACUAAAUCCGCUAUAUCUCACAAAAUAGAAAACCAGUUAUAGAUAUAGACUUACACUUCCAUUUAAAGUUUGGAGGGGAAACAUUUCUGAUAAAUGAGAUUGAAGGUAAUACAGUUCCUUCUCCGAAGAGAAGGAUGCUAGAGAUCAUGGAGAUAUCCCGGUAAACCCACGGUAAAUUAACAAUCAAUCAAUUCUUCCCACAAAAGAAAUAAAGGAAUUGAAUACAAACUAUCUUCGGUAUUGUGUAUGAUAAAUAAGGCAAUUGUUUAUUUCAGUUCAUGUGAUUUUCUGUAUGAUAAAUCAAUAGGACCCGACAAUACUAUUGUCUCCUUCUUUUUCUUCCCGCCUAAAACGUUAGCAGUACCAACAAACGAAAAAAAUAAAUUUGAUUGCUUGACUCUAUCCAUAUCAGAGUUGACUAAUUAAAUGUUGAUGUUUUUGGUAUUGAAAUCUUACGUCCAUGUGUUGAAUUGUUAUUGCUUCUGAAGUUGACUCUAAUGUCCACUUUCCAUCGUUCACAUUGGACGGAUCCUCUACAAUUUACGCAAGGUUUAAUCGACUAAUCAAAUUGUCACGUCAAUUAUAUGUCUGUUAGAUAUUUUUUAAUCUAAUAACAGAGUUCGAUCUAUACUAUUAAAAGGGAAUCACUCCUAAAAAAUCUAAUUAAACAAGGUUGUUGGACCAUUUCAUUAGACUUAACUAUUUAUUUGGUCUUAACUUAUAUUUCUCUAACUAUAUAAAUACUUUACAUAAUUUAAAUGAAUUCAUUUAUUAUUUUCUCAUAAUCUAUUAUAUAAUUGCUCUAACAAUAAAUCCAUCUUGCGGUUUCAGGCAUCUUGGACCUUGAGUAAUACGUCAUGGCCGCAGGGAUAGCACCAACCAUCAAGAUUAUACGCCAUACAAGAUCUGCUUGAGGUACCGUGGAUCUCAAGGCAUCUUCCGCAUAGGCCGGUGCAGGGAACUUAGCUUCAAAAGCAGAGGAGAUAAUUAUAGCAAAGAUGCCACCAGCCAUGAUCCCAAACCCUUGCAUAGCGAAAACC
Molecule: long non-coding RNA, 14630 nt
Filed under: Brassica napus (rape)
Lineage: Eukaryota; Viridiplantae; Streptophyta; Magnoliopsida; Brassicales; Brassicaceae
Description: long non-coding RNA (BNAP_LNC003963)
Source: RNAcentral